This 72-nucleotide transfer RNA is filed under the name Bos taurus (domestic cattle). It matches the Rfam family "tRNA". From Rfam's summary of the family: Transfer RNA (tRNA) molecules are approximately 80 nucleotides in length. Their secondary structure includes four short double-helical elements and three loops (D, anti-codon, and T loops). Lineage: Eukaryota; Metazoa; Chordata; Mammalia; Artiodactyla; Bovidae. RNAcentral also lists the same sequence under 5 other names. The record is from Rfam by way of RNAcentral.
UCCCUGGUGGCUCAGAGGGUAAAGAAUCUGCCUGCAAUGCAGGAGACCCAGGUUCAACCCCUGGGUUGGGAA